GACGAACGCUGGCGGCGUGCUUAACACAUGCAAGUCGAACGAAGAGCGAUGGAAGCUUGCUUCUAUCAAUCUUAGUGGCGAACGGGUGAGUAACGCGUAAUCAACCUGCCCUUCAGAGGGGGACAACAGUUGGAAACGACUGCUAAUACCGCAUACGAUCUAAUCUCGGCAUCGAGGAAAGAUGAAAGGUGGCCUCUAUUUAUAAGCUAUCACUGAAGGAGGGGAUUGCGUCUGAUUAGCUAGUUGGAGGGGUAACGGCCCACCAAGGCGAUGAUCAGUAGCCGGUCUGAGAGGAUGAACGGCCACAUUGGGACUGAGACACGGCCCAGACUCCUACGGGAGGCAGCAGUGGGGAAUCUUCCGCAAUGGACGAAAGUCUGACGGAGCAACGCCGCGUGAGUGAUGACGGCCUUCGGGUUGUAAAGCUCUGUUAAUCGGGACGAAAGGCCUUCUUGCGAACAGUUAGAAGGAUUGACGGUACCGGAAUAGAAAGCCACGGCUAAUUACGUG
This 510-nucleotide ribosomal RNA is filed under the name uncultured bacterium. Its description in RNAcentral is "partial 16S ribosomal RNA". It matches the Rfam family "Bacterial small subunit ribosomal RNA", at positions 28 to 507 of the family's 1533-position model. The record is from RNAcentral.